RNAcentral lists this ribosomal RNA (253 nucleotides) under uncultured bacterium. RNAcentral describes it as "partial 16S ribosomal RNA". It matches the Rfam family "Bacterial small subunit ribosomal RNA", at positions 524 to 776 of the family's 1533-position model. The record is from RNAcentral.
UACGUAGGGUGCGAGCGUUGUCCGGAAUUAUUGGGCGUAAAGAGCUUGUAGGCGGUCUGUCGCGUCUGCUGUGAAAAUCCGGGGCUCAACCCCGGACUUGCAGUGGGUACGGGCAGACUAGAGUGUGGUAGGGGAGACUGGAAUUCCUGGUGUAGCGGUGAAAUGCGCAGAUAUCAGGAGGAACACCGGUGGCGAAGGCGGUUCUCUGGGCCUGACCUGACGCUGAGGAGCGAAAGCGUGGGGAGCGAACAGG